RNAcentral lists this ribosomal RNA (253 nucleotides) under uncultured bacterium. RNAcentral describes it as "partial 16S ribosomal RNA". It matches the Rfam family "Bacterial small subunit ribosomal RNA", at positions 524 to 776 of the family's 1533-position model. The record is from RNAcentral.
UACGAAGGGGGCUAGCGUUGCCCGGAAUCACUGGGCGUAAAGGGUGCGUAGGCGGGUCUUUAAGUCAGGGGUGAAAUCCUGGAGCUCAACUCCAGAACUGCCUUUGAUACUGAGGAUCUUGAGUACGGGAGAGGUGAGUGGAACUGCGAGUGUAGAGGUGAAAUUCGUAGAUAUUCGCAAGAACACCAGUGGCGAAGGCGGCUCACUGGCCCGGUACUGACGCUGAGGUACGAAAGCGUGGGGAGCAAACAGG